This 206-nucleotide unclassified non-coding RNA is filed under the name Hevea brasiliensis (rubber tree). The record is from RNAcentral. Lineage: Eukaryota; Viridiplantae; Streptophyta; Magnoliopsida; Malpighiales; Euphorbiaceae.
UUGCUUUCAGGCCAAGCUUCUUACCUUCUGCAUCUCUUAAAAUCUGAUAGUUAUUAGAAGUUAAAAACAACCAUGACCACGACCAAAAAAAGUUAUCAGCAUUUAUAUUUAAAUUGAACUCCACAUCCCUACAAAAGCAAAAGAAUAUCAUAUACCUGGCGGGGUGCCUCCAAUUUUUUUGCGGAGAUCAUCUGAACAGAAAUCAU